Molecule: ribosomal RNA, 464 nt
Filed under: uncultured Klebsiella sp.
Lineage: Bacteria; Pseudomonadati; Pseudomonadota; Gammaproteobacteria; Enterobacterales; Enterobacteriaceae
Description: bacterial SSU rRNA
Rfam family: Bacterial small subunit ribosomal RNA
Source: RNAcentral
CCUACGGGAGGCAGCAGUGGGGAUAUUGCACAAUGGGCGCAAGCCUGAUGCAGCCAUGCCGCGUGUGUGAAGAAGGCCUUCGGGUUGUAAAGCACUUUCAGCGGGGAGGAAGGCGGUGAGGUUAAUAACCUCAUCGAUUGACGUUACCCGCAGAAGAAGCACCGGCUAACUCCGUGCCAGCAGCCGCGGUAAUACGGAGGGUGCAAGCGUUAAUCGGAAUUACUGGGCGUAAAGCGCACGCAGGCGGUCUGUCAAGUCGGAUGUGAAAUCCCCGGGCUCAACCUGGGAACUGCAUUCGAGACUGGCAGGCUAGAGUCUUGUAGAGGGGGGUAGAAUUCCAGGUGUAGCGGUGAAAUGCGUAGAGAUCUGGAGGAAUACCGGUGGCGAAGGCGGCCCCCUGGACAAAGACUGACGCUCAGGUGCGAAAGCGUGGGGAGCAAACAGGAUUAGAUACCCCGGUAGUC